CAAUAGCGUAUAUUAAAGUUGUUGCGGUUAAAAAGCUCGUAGUUGGAGUUCUGCCAGGUGCCGCCUGUCCGCCCCAGUGGUGAGUACGUGGCGCGCAUUUGGCCCUUUCAAGGGGAGCGUAUCUGCACUUUAUUGUGUGGUGCGGGAUCCUUGACUUUUACUUUGAGGAAAUAGGAGUGUUCCAAGCAGGCUCUCGUCGUGCACAGCUCAGCAUGGAAUAAUAGCAUUGGACCUCGAUUCUAAGCUGUUGGUUGCCAGAAGCGAGGUAAUGAUGAAGAGGGAUAGUUGGGGGCAUUCGUAUUUAACUGUCAGAUGUGAAAUUCUUGGAUUUGUUAAAGACGGACUACUGCGAAAGCAUCUGCCAUGGAUGUUUUCAUUGA
RNAcentral lists this ribosomal RNA (380 nucleotides) under uncultured eukaryote. Its description in RNAcentral is "partial 18S ribosomal RNA". It matches the Rfam family "Eukaryotic small subunit ribosomal RNA", at positions 592 to 976 of the family's 1831-position model. The record is from RNAcentral.